AUUGAACGCUGGCGGCAUGCCUAACACAUGCAAGUCGAACGGCAGCACAGCAGUAGCAAUACUGUGGGUGGCGAGUGGCGGACGGGUGAGGAAUACGUCGGAAUCUGCCCAGUCGUGGGGGAUAACUAGCCGAAAGGUUAGCUAAUACCGCAUACGACCGAGAGGUGAAAGCGGGGGACCGCAAGGCCUCGCGCGAUUGGAUGAGCCGACGUCGGAUUAGCUAGUUGGCGGGGUAAAGGCCCACCAAGGCGACGAUCCGUAGCUGGUCUGAGAGGAUGAUCAGCCACACUGGAACUGAGACACGGUCCAGACUCCUACGGGAGGCAGCAGUGGGGAAUAUUGGACAAUGGCGCAAGCCUGAUCCAGCAA
RNAcentral lists this ribosomal RNA (369 nucleotides) under uncultured bacterium. RNAcentral describes it as "bacterial SSU rRNA". It matches the Rfam family "Bacterial small subunit ribosomal RNA", at positions 29 to 394 of the family's 1533-position model. The record is from RNAcentral.